RNAcentral lists this unclassified non-coding RNA (199 nucleotides) under uncultured fungus. RNAcentral's name for it is "sequence contains ITS1". The record is from RNAcentral. Lineage: Eukaryota; Fungi.
UUGUUGUUAGUGUGGCUGUUGCCUGAAUAUCCUUCUUUGUUGUGUGUGCUGCGUCUGGAGGUUGUCCAGCCGCAAUGUAUGUUCUUUCUUGCUCGGUCGCACAGUCUCUCCAAGAAGAGUGACUGAUCUUGGUCUGCCAGAUGCUCUGACGAGCACCCAACCCUCAUUAAUGAUCCUUCCGCAGGUUCACCUACGGAAA